GCAAAAAGCAGCUAUAUUUGUGUUACAGCUCUGGAGGAAAAACUAUCCUGAUUGUCAGGAAGUUAGACUAUACCUGAAGCUACAAAGGGACAGCUCUGGAGGGUUUCUGAAUUGGACAAAAGAGGACAGGCAAGAGAAAGAAAGGUGAGAGCUUAUUGCUUUACUGAUGACCUUCACCAAGAUCUUCGUUUCCUGGCAGAUUGGUUUCCUCCAAACUUCACAACGACCUGUUCCAGUUCAGCCUGACCUUUACUUUCCUCAGAUUGAGCUAUUACACAGUGAACCACUGCUGAAUUACCCCUAUUGGGUUUGGGAGUUUUUCUUUGCCUUAACUUCUUUUAUACACAUUAUCAUUCAGCAUUUAAUUGGAACAGCCAGAAAUGAAGACAAGGCAGAUUUUCUUUUUUCUUUUUUGAAAAACAUGCUAACAUGAGGAGGUGCCUGGCUGGAAUAACAUGAAGAACAAAUCUGC
Molecule: long non-coding RNA, 472 nt
Organism: Arvicola amphibius (Eurasian water vole)
Lineage: Eukaryota; Metazoa; Chordata; Mammalia; Rodentia; Cricetidae
Exons: 3
Source: RefSeq, a predicted model, not a curated record